Molecule: ribosomal RNA, 1028 nt
Filed under: Heterogaster behrensii
Lineage: Eukaryota; Metazoa; Arthropoda; Insecta; Hemiptera; Heterogastridae
Description: partial large subunit ribosomal RNA
Rfam family: Bacterial large subunit ribosomal RNA (bases 598-1028)
Source: RNAcentral
CCCGAAUUUAUGAGAUAUAUUUUUUAAUGUUUUAUUAUGUAACAUAAUAAUUUAAAAUUAAAAAAUAGGGGUUAUAUGCUAUUCAAUCAUAAUAUAUCUGGUUGUUUAAGAUUUGAAUUUAAUUUAGGAUUAUUGUGUUAAUUUUUAUUUUUAUUAAAUUUGAUAUAAUAAUUUAAGAUUAUGGGGGAUUAGCUCUGUGAUUAAUUAUAUAAAGGUAAUUUUUGAUUAAUAUAUGUAGGCUUGAUAACAGCCAUCUAUAAGUUCGUUAUAGUUUAAAUUACAAAUCAAUUAAUUUAAUUUCUUUUAAAUUUUUAUUAAACAUUUUUAUUAAACAUUUAUUUUUAAGUUUUUUUGAUAAAAUUAGUAAUUUAUUUUUUUAAGUACAGUAAUUCGGCAAUUAUUUAUUUUCGCCUGUUUAACAAAAACAUGUCUUAUAGAAUUUAAUUUUAAGUCUGGCCUGCUCAAUGAUUUUAUUAAAUAGCCGCAGUAUUUUGACUGUGCAAAGGUAGCAUAAUCAUUUGUCUUUUAAUUGGAGGCUUGAAUGAAGGGUUGGACGAGGGAUAAACUUUCUUUACUUAAAAUUUUAUGAAAUUAAUUUUUCAGUUAAAAAGCUGAAAUUUUUUUGUGGGACGAGAAGACCCUAUAGAAUUUUAUUUAUAAAUUUAUAAUUUAAUUUUAAUUUUAUUUAUGUUAAUUAUAAAUUUAUAAAUUUGGUUGGGGUGACUGUGAAAAUUAUAAAACUUUUAUUAAAAAUAGUUUCAUUAAUUGAUGUUUUUAAGAUCCUAUAUUAUGGAUUAUAAGAUUAAAUUACCUUAGGGAUAACAGCGUAAUUCUUUUGGAGAGUUCUUAUUGAUGAAAGAGUUUGCGACCUCGAUGUUGGAUUAAAAUAAGGUUUUGGUGUAGAAGCUAAAAUACUAGGUCUGUUCGACCUUUAAAUUUUUACAUGAUCUGAGUUCAGACCGGCGUGAGCCAGGUUGGUUUCUAUCUAUAAUAUAAUUUAAUAUUUUAGUACGAAAGGACCAAAUAUU